CAGGGUUUGACAUCCUGAGACCGCCGGUGAAAGCCGGUUUUCCCGCAAGGGACUCAGAGACAGGUGCUGCAUGGCUGUCGUCAGCUCGUGUCGUGAGAUGUUGGGUUAAGUCCCGCAACGAGCGCAACCCUCGCCUUUAGUUGCCAUCAUUAAGUUGGGCACUCUAGAGGGACCGCCGGCGACAAGCCGGAGGAAGGUGGGGAUGACGUCAAGUCCUCAUGGCCCUUACACCCUGGGCUACACACGUGCUACAAUGGCGGUGACAGUGAGCAGCUAGUUCGCGAGAACGUGCUAAUCUCUAAAAACCGUCCCAGUUCAGAUUGCACUCUGCAACUCGAGUGCAUGAAGGUGGAAUCGCUAGUAAUCGCAGAACAGCAGGCUGCGGUGAAUACGUUCCC
This 398-nucleotide ribosomal RNA is filed under the name uncultured bacterium. RNAcentral's name for it is "bacterial SSU rRNA". It matches the Rfam family "Bacterial small subunit ribosomal RNA", at positions 975 to 1375 of the family's 1533-position model. The record is from RNAcentral.